GAGCAUGUGGCUUAAUUUGACUCAACGCGGGAAAUCUUACCGGGUCCGGACACACUGAGGAUUGACAGGUAACGUUAUACACACAUAUAUUUACUCUCGGGUAUUUAUACUGCUGUGUAUAUAUAAAAUAUGCUAGUCCUUUCAUGAUUAUGUGAUAGGUGGUGCAUGGCCGUUCUUAGUUCGUGGAGUGAUCUGUCUGCUUAAUUGCGUUUCACUAAGGAUCUAUAUUCAUAUUACGCAUAGCAUUUUGACCCCUUUAUGCUUCGGUAUAAAGCUGCGCGUCAAACCUUGCUAUCUGCGUAUAUUAGAUCCUGAAAGCAACGAACGUGACCGCAACCUCUUGUUGCCUUUAACUAGGUUUUGCUUACGUAUAGCUUCGGCUUUACGCUUUGCAUCUAAAAAGGCUGAUUUUCUAAACUAGAGGGACCGCUGUUACUUUCUUAAACCAGAGGAAGGUUGCGGCAAUAACAGGU
RNAcentral lists this ribosomal RNA (473 nucleotides) under Nonionella sp. T1. Its description in RNAcentral is "SSU rRNA". It matches the Rfam family "Eukaryotic small subunit ribosomal RNA", at positions 1179 to 1461 of the family's 1831-position model. The record is from RNAcentral. Lineage: Eukaryota; Foraminifera; Rotaliida; Nonionidae.